This 313-nucleotide long non-coding RNA is filed under the name Phoenix dactylifera (date palm). RNAcentral describes it as "long non-coding RNA (PDAC_LNC007628)". The record is from RNAcentral. Lineage: Eukaryota; Viridiplantae; Streptophyta; Magnoliopsida; Arecales; Arecaceae.
UUUUAUUAAUUGGAUCGAGUGAAUUUCCCAUAAUGCCCCUACUUUCUCUUAUAGAGAGGUCCCUUUCGGGACAAAUUCUUUUCUUUACCUUGACCAUAAAGUGCCAUGGGAUGACCUUUUCCUAUUCUGCUCUUGCUUGACAUGGUAAACAGUAUUGCCAAGCAUUAUCCCAGUUAUUUAAUCAGUUUCAUGGCCCUUCUUUUAGGACAAUUACUUUUCUGUGCUUCCAUUCAAGAAUUAUAUUAAAUUGAAAAGGCUUCUUGUCUAUCUUUGUUAGAUUUAUGUAUCCUUGUUGAAAUAGUGUACUUGAUAG